UAGUCGUGAGUCUUCACUGCGCAGCGGUCUGGCCUUUUCUAGUUUUCUAGACGGGCUGGAAAGCAGCCCAGCGGGUUAUUUUCGGGAUUUCUCCCCUCCGUUCCCCCAGGGGCUAGAGAAGGGGAGGAGAUGCGGCAUUAUUUAGCUCCUGGGAGAGAGUGCAAGCGGGGUGGCCACUUUACACCGGCCCGGAAAGUAGGCCGCCACGCUGGACCGAGCCCUAAAAUGGCCGACGGGGCACCAGGGCCGGGGAAAAUGGCAGCCCCCCUUUUGUCCCCCGGGAGAAAGACACACACGGAGGGACCAAGACAGCCAGGAGCAGGAGGGAGAAGGCAGGAGCCAGGCCUCGGGCCACAAUUCCGGGCUGGCUACAGAGUUGCCCCGGGCCAUCGUCCUGGGUUCCCCUCCCCCACCCGCGCUUCUCGGCUACUUCAGCCCUUUGCUCCUCCCAGCCCCACCCCCACCCCCGGCCAAUUUGCUCCCCAGCCCAGAGCCCCCGCGGGCUUUUCCAAAGCCGGGCAGUGGGGUCCCUAGAAAGGCUUCCGUUUGGGGGCUCGUCCUCCCUCUCGGAUACUGAGGCUCCUUCCUCAGAUCUCCUAGAACUCAGCCUAAGUCAACUGGCUUUGCUAGGCUGUAGUUCUUUCUAGCAGUUUUGCCCUCUCCCUUUGUAUCUAAGGCAGAAAUGUUGCAGAAAAAGGGAUUUGCAAUUAGUUGGCAUACAGCCGCCUCUGCAGAGAACUCACUUUUCAACCCACGUCUGGGAAGGGCGGCGGUGGGGGUGGGGCCGGAAGAAAACUAUCCAAGGUCUUGUUGAAAAGAAAAAAAAAAAAAAAACACGCUAGGGACUAUUUUUGCUUGAGUAACAAAGGAGGCGGAGGGUUACGUGUUCCAGGCGGUGAGACCGUCCAUGGUGUAUAAAUAGUCCUCCUCCCAACGCCCUCUCAGGCAGACGGCAGGCAGAGAGGCUAGGCGCUAGCUCAGGUAGGAAGACGAGCGAGCCGAAGCGAGGACCUGAGAGGAAUUUUAACACAGAAUUUUCUUUAGCGCCUAGUUCUAGGGAGCCAGAUGAAGAUUAUUGCUUUAGAAGACAACUGGAGAAAGGCAGAUAAAAGGAGGAACGAGCUCAUUUUAAAGGGAGGUUGAGCUAGAUUAGGCUUUAAGAAAAAUCUGCCAUGCGAAUGACUAAGGGCUCUUAGAAAUCCUUUUUGAUCCAAAUUGCAAGCCAAAGAGGUCUUUUCUGAAGCUCAAAACCAACCUUUCUAUGAGCUUAUCGGAAAGGAUUAAUAAGAGAAUUGACAGAAAAGCUAGCUUUUGUAUGAUAGUUUCGAGCGAGAUACAUUGAAGACAAAAUUUUAGCGAGAAAAAGAAGAUAAAAUCGAAAAAAAAAAAAUACUGGGGGAAAGUAACCGAAAACCCCUUUAAAAUGGCAGAAGCAUUAGAGAGGAGACGAUAGGUUGAGAAAGCAUCAGAAAGAAGACUAGAGGAGAGAAAAUUACUGAAAUAGAUAAGCAAAAAUACAGCAAGGGAGGGGCAAUCGUUAAAAGCAAGGAAUCUAGAAGAAAAAAAUAGCAACAAUUGGAAGAAAAAAUAGAAGUUAGAAAAAUAGCAAGAUUGCAAGAGGAAGAUAGACGUAAAAGGAAAAAAAUGGCAAGAGAACAUUUGAAGAAAAAAUGGUUGAGGUUUGACAAGAAGAUAGAAUUUGAGAGGAAAAAUAACAAUUGGAAGAAAAAGUAGAAAUUAGAAAAAACUGAAGAAGGAAAAUAGAAGUUAGGAAGAUAGCAAGAAUGGAAGAGGAAACUAGAAAGAAAAAAUAGCAAAAGAACAAUUGGGAAGAAAGAAAAUAGAAGUUAGAAAAAAAGAUUGGAAGAGGAAACUAGAACUUAGGAAAAAAUAGCAAAGAGAAGAAUUUAAAGAAGAAAAUAGAAUUGAGAGGAAAAAAUAGCAAGAAAAAAUACAGCUUUAGAAGAGGACCAGGAAUUUUGAAGAGGUUAAAUGAAAAUAGCAUUUUGGAAGAGAGGAAUUUGACAGCAAAAGCAUCUAAAAAAAAAAGAAUAGCCAAAGAAAAUUCGAGAAAAAUGUAGAAGAAAGGCACAAGACAAAUUGGCUAAAGAAAAAAAAUAGGAAGAUUAGCAAGAAUUCAUAGCAAAGGAAAAA
Molecule: long non-coding RNA, 2154 nt
Organism: Gracilinanus agilis (Agile Gracile Mouse Opossum)
Lineage: Eukaryota; Metazoa; Chordata; Mammalia; Didelphimorphia; Didelphidae
Exons: 2
Source: RefSeq, a predicted model, not a curated record